This 468-nucleotide ribosomal RNA is filed under the name uncultured bacterium. RNAcentral's name for it is "partial 16S ribosomal RNA". It matches the Rfam family "Bacterial small subunit ribosomal RNA", at positions 28 to 507 of the family's 1533-position model. The record is from RNAcentral.
GACGAACGCUGGCGGCGUGCUUAACACAUGCAAGUCGAACGGAAAGGCCCUGCUUUUGUGGGGUGCUCGAGUGGCGAACGGGUGAGUAACACGUGAGUAACCUGCCCUUGACUUUGGGAUAACUUCAGGAAACUGGGGCUAAUACCGGAUAGGAGCUCCUGCUGCAUGGUGGGGGUUGGAAAGUUUCGGCGGUUGGGGAUGGACUCGCGGCUUAUCAGCUUGUUGGUGGGGUAGUGGCUUACCAAGGCUUUGACGGGUAGCCGGCCUGAGAGGGUGAACGGCCACAUUGGGACUGAGAUAGGGCCCAGACUCCUACGGGAGGCAGCAGUGGGGAAUAUUGCAUAAUGGGCGGAAGUCUGAUGAAGCAACGCCGCGUGCGGGAUGAAGGCCUUCGGGUUGUAAACCGCAUUCGCCUGUGACGAAGCGUGAGUGACGGUAAUGGGUAAAGAAGCACCGGCUAACUACGUG